GUUCGGUGGAAACGAGAAUAAAACGUGAAGGAUAACGUUGCGUAAGCAACGGCCCGUAGGGCGAGGCAAAGCCGAGUCAUCCUGCACAACCCACCA
RNAcentral lists this small RNA (96 nucleotides) under Salmonella enterica. RNAcentral describes it as "partial RtT sRNA". It matches the Rfam family "RtT RNA", at positions 41 to 130 of the family's 130-position model. From Rfam's summary of the family: This family represents a bacterial cis-regulatory element known as RtT RNA. The record is from RNAcentral. Lineage: Bacteria; Pseudomonadati; Pseudomonadota; Gammaproteobacteria; Enterobacterales; Enterobacteriaceae. RNAcentral also lists the same sequence under 2 other names.